UAUACUUUCGUAUAUGAAGUACAUUAAUUUUUGAUAUUAAUAGUAAAAGUUUAAUUCUUUUAAGUAUAA
RNAcentral lists this transfer RNA (69 nucleotides) under Acrocrypta assamensis. Its description in RNAcentral is "tRNA-Gln". It matches the Rfam family "tRNA". From Rfam's summary of the family: Transfer RNA (tRNA) molecules are approximately 80 nucleotides in length. Their secondary structure includes four short double-helical elements and three loops (D, anti-codon, and T loops). Further hydrogen bonds mediate the characteristic L-shaped molecular structure. tRNAs have two regions of fundamental functional importance: the anti-codon, which is responsible for specific mRNA codon recognition, and the 3' end, to which the tRNAs corresponding amino acid is attached (by aminoacyl-tRNA synthetases). tRNAs cope with the degeneracy of the genetic code in two manners: having more than one tRNA (with a specific anti-codon) for a particular amino acid; and 'wobble' base-pairing, i.e. permitting non-standard base-pairing at the 3rd anti-codon position. Lineage: Eukaryota; Metazoa; Arthropoda; Insecta; Coleoptera; Chrysomelidae. The record is from RNAcentral.